UAAUACAUAUGAAGCAUUAUUUCCCGAUAAAAAAAGAUCUAUUCUUUAUUAGAAUAAUAGUUAAUUUAUGUAUCAUGUGGAAUGAUUGUGCAUAAAAUAUUGAAUAGAGGUGAAAUGCCUACAAUUUUUUUGAUAUCUGGAUAGAGUACAAAAGAAUAUAGUUUCUAGGUAGUCGAGGAGUUAUAAGAUUCUUCGAAAUAUAAAAUUGUAGAUAAAGCGAUGUAUAGGAAUAAUUUUCUUGAUAUUGAAAUUAUAUUAGCAUUUAUGUCUAGAUCUAUUUAUUGAACUAUACUCUUCGCAGACUAUAAUACAAAAUGUUAGUUGAUAAUGUUUAAAUUAGUAUUUAUAUAUCUAUAUCUUGAUGAGGAACUCGGCAAAAAUUUUCUUCAACUGUUUAUCAAAAACAUAGCUUGGAGGAUUAUUUAUUUUAAGUGAUUUCUGCCCAGUGAAAAUUUUAACGGCCGCAGUACACUGACUGUGCUAAGGUAGCAUAAUAAUUUGGCUUUUAAUUGAAGUCGGGUAUGAAAGGGGAAAUGAAGAAUAUCUGUCUUUUUUAGAUAAGUAAAAGUUACUAAGGAAGUGAAAAUUCUUUCAUAGUGGCAUGUUAGACGAGAAGACCCUAAGAAUUUUUAUAAAAUUUAGUAUUGUACUUAUUAAAUUUUUGUUGGGGCAACAACUUUGGUAAACCAAAGUGUAUAAGAUACUUACACAUCAUACGGUUUAAGAUUCGGUGAAUAUUACCUUAGGGAUAACAGCAUAAUUAUAUUAUAUAGAUUGUGACCUCGAUGUUGGACUAAGGACUUGACUAAAUAGCCUUUAGUUAAGCUAGUUCUGUUCGAACUUUAAACCUUA
This 852-nucleotide ribosomal RNA is filed under the name Schileykula neuberti. RNAcentral describes it as "partial 16S ribosomal RNA". The stretch from base 386 to 539 matches the Rfam family "Archaeal large subunit ribosomal RNA", at positions 1887 to 2086 of the family's 2987-position model. Lineage: Eukaryota; Metazoa; Mollusca; Gastropoda; Stylommatophora; Orculidae. The record is from RNAcentral.